Molecule: ribosomal RNA, 253 nt
Filed under: uncultured bacterium
Lineage: Bacteria
Description: partial 16S ribosomal RNA
Rfam family: Bacterial small subunit ribosomal RNA
Source: RNAcentral
GACGAACUGUCCUAACGUUGUUCGGAAUCACUGGGCUUAAAGGGCGCGUAGGCGGUCCGACAAGUCAGGGGUGAAAUCCUGCAGCUUAACUGCAGAAGUGCCUUUGAUACUGUCGGUCUGGAGGGAGAUAGGGGUGUGCGGAACUCACAGUGGAGCGGUGAAAUGCGUUGAUAUUGUGAGGAACGCCGGAGGCGAAAGCGGCGCACUGGAUCUCUUCUGACGCUGAGGCGCGAAAGCUAGGGGAGCAAACGGG